AUGGAGGUGCUUGAUUUGUCCGGCAACCAAUUGGUGGGCACCAUCCCAUCGUGGAUUGGUGAGCUUCACCACCUUUGCUACUUGGAUCUCUCAAACAAUUCAUUGGUUGGCGAUGCACCUAAGAGUUUGGCACUGCUAAAGGGGCUCGCCCCUGAUGGGCGUUCACCGGGCAUGGUUUUCACUAACAUUCCAUCGUAUGUGAAGCAUAACAGAAGCACACUCGGACGACGACUUAACGACCUCCCAAAUGUCAUCACAGGGACCAACAACUUUGUAACAUCUGGGAGCAACAAUGUUUUAUCGGGGAAUGACAACACAGUCAUAUUUGGGGAUGAAAACACCGUAUCUGGGAACAACCAUGCUAUAUAUGGGGAUGGGAACACGGUAUCUGGGAACAACCAUGUCGUAUCUGGGAGCAAGCAUGUUGUAUCCGGGAGUAGGCAUGGCGUAACUGGGAGAAGUAGUGUGGUAUCUGGGUUCAACAAUGGCGUAUCUGGGAUCAACCAUGUUGUAUCGGGGAGUAACAAUGUCGUAUCCGGGAGCAACAAUGUUGUAUCUGGGAUGAACCAUAUUGUGUCUGGAAACAACAAAGUAAUAACAUGA
This 603-nucleotide ribosomal RNA is filed under the name Triticum aestivum (bread wheat). RNAcentral's name for it is "partial small subunit ribosomal RNA". Lineage: Eukaryota; Viridiplantae; Streptophyta; Magnoliopsida; Poales; Poaceae. The record is from RNAcentral.